This 394-nucleotide ribosomal RNA is filed under the name uncultured bacterium. RNAcentral describes it as "bacterial SSU rRNA". It matches the Rfam family "Bacterial small subunit ribosomal RNA", at positions 29 to 416 of the family's 1533-position model. The record is from RNAcentral.
AUUGAACGCUGGCGGCAUGCUUUACACAUGCAAGUCGAACGGUAACGCGGGGGGUAACGUCCUGGCGACGAGUGGCGAACGGGUAGAGUAAUACAUCGGAACAUGUCCUGGAGUGGGGGAGUANCUCGGCGAAAGACCGGAUUAAUACCGCAUACGCUCUGAGGAGGAAAGCGGGGACCGUGGAGACGGGCCUCGCGCUGCGGGAGUGCCGAUGUCGGAUUAGCUAGUUGGUGAGGAAAGGCUCACCAAGGCGACGAUCCGUAGCUGGUCUGAGAGGAUGAUCAGCCACACUGGGACUGAGACACGGCCCAGACUCCUACGGGGAGGCAGCAGUGGGGAAUUUUGACAAUGGGGGCAACCCUGAUCCAGCCAUGCCGCGUGAGUGAAGAAGGCC